UCCCUGACUUGUUUCCCUUUGUCACCAUGGUUUGUUGGCUUGUGGGUUCCGUACUUGGCUCCCCCACCGGUAACCGGCCAAGUCCUUUGAGUCUUGGACUUGGAUGACUCGCCUUGGUGCUUGACAUGCCCUUUGUCAGCACUAGAGUAUUCCUCCAAUGUGGCAGCAACCUUGAGUGCCGUCGAGAUGUCAUCGACCUUGGACCGUCUUAAUUCUUGAGCCGCCCAUGG
RNAcentral lists this long non-coding RNA (230 nucleotides) under Nicotiana benthamiana. RNAcentral describes it as "long non-coding RNA (NBEN_LNC018554)". Lineage: Eukaryota; Viridiplantae; Streptophyta; Magnoliopsida; Solanales; Solanaceae. The record is from RNAcentral.